UACGUAGGGGGCAAGCGUUGUCCGGAUUUAUUGGGCGUAAAGAGCGUGUAGGCGGCUUUACAGGUCCGUUGUGAAAACUCGAGGCUCAACCUCGAGACGCCGGUGGAAACCGUAAAGCUAGAGUCCGGAAGAGGAGAGUGGAAUUCCUGGUGUAGCGGUGAAAUGCGCAGAUAUCAGGAGGAACACCGGUGGCGAAGGCGGGUCUCUGGGCCGAAAUUGACGCUGAGGAGCGAAAGCGUGGGGAGCAAACAGG
Molecule: ribosomal RNA, 253 nt
Filed under: uncultured bacterium
Lineage: Bacteria
Description: partial 16S ribosomal RNA
Rfam family: Bacterial small subunit ribosomal RNA
Source: RNAcentral